AACUUAAAUUAACUUAGAGCCAACCGAGCUGAAUACGACUAUAUAAGGUUUAUGGCUGAUGGGGUUUUGUCAGAAAUAACAAAGCCUCUCGCAUUUAGAAAGAAGGAACAUGGCGUGACUU
RNAcentral lists this non-coding RNA (121 nucleotides) under Methylomonas denitrificans. Its description in RNAcentral is "MoCo sequence". It matches the Rfam family "Molybdenum/Tungsten riboswitch aptamer (Moco RNA motif)". Lineage: Bacteria; Pseudomonadati; Pseudomonadota; Gammaproteobacteria; Methylococcales; Methylococcaceae. The record is from Rfam by way of RNAcentral.